UAGCGAGACUGCCGGUUAAUAACCGGAGGAAGUGGGGAUGACGUCAAAUCAUCAUGCCCCUUAUGACCUGGGCUACACACGUGCUACAAUGGUUGGUACAACGAGUUGCGAGUCGGUGACGGCGAGCUAAUCUCUUAAAGCCAAUCUCAGUUCGGAUUGUAGGCUGCAACUCGCCUACAUGAAGUCGGAAUCGCUAGUAAUCGCGGAUCAGCACGCCGCGGUGAAUACGUUCCCGGGCCUU
Molecule: ribosomal RNA, 241 nt
Filed under: uncultured Streptococcus sp.
Lineage: Bacteria; Bacillati; Bacillota; Bacilli; Lactobacillales; Streptococcaceae
Description: partial 16S ribosomal RNA
Rfam family: Bacterial small subunit ribosomal RNA
Source: RNAcentral